UGGCAAGGUUGUAGCCUCCUCCUCCCAGGAUGAGAGUUGCCAGCUGCCACUGCAGGACGUACUUCAGGCACUUGCCCACUCCCUCGGGCGUCAUGUUGAAGGAGCACAUGGGGUCUCCAGCAAUGGUGUCAGCCCCCAGCUGUAGCACCACUGCCUCAGGGUUGAAGGCAGCGUACACCUCCUUCAGCACAGUUUCACAGAUCUGGUAAUAUUUCUCAUCUUGAAUGCCAUCUUGGAUAGGCACAUUCACACUGUAAUAGCGACCUUUCCCCAGGCCAAUAUCUGUCACAUCCCCUGUGCCUGGAAAAUGGAAACAGCCAGUGGUUAAUGAAGAGAAGAAGAGACUCAGCACUAAGAGAAACGUGUGGCAUGUCUCAGGCAAGAGCAGAGUGCCUGGUAUGUCUAUC
RNAcentral lists this long non-coding RNA (407 nucleotides) under Gallus gallus (chicken). Lineage: Eukaryota; Metazoa; Chordata; Aves; Galliformes; Phasianidae. The record is from RNAcentral.